Molecule: ribosomal RNA, 372 nt
Filed under: uncultured organism
Description: bacterial SSU rRNA
Rfam family: Bacterial small subunit ribosomal RNA
Source: RNAcentral
CGUAGGGUGCAAGCGUUAAUCGGAAUUACUGGGCGUAAAGCGUGCGCAGGCGGUGAUGUAAGACAGGUGUGAAAUCCCCGGGCUUAACCUGGGAACUGCAUUUGUGACUGCAUCGCUGGAGUGCGGCAGAGGGGGAUGGAAUUCCGCGUGUAGCAGUGAAAUGCGUAGAUAUGCGGAGGAACACCGAUGGCGAAGGCAAUCCCCUGGGCCUGCACUGACGCUCAUGCACGAAAGCGUGGGGAGCAAACAGGAUUAGAUACCCUGGUAGUCCACGCCCUAAACGAUGUCAACUGGUUGUUGGGUCUUCACUGACUCAGUAACGAAGCUAACGCGUGAAGUUGACCGCCGUGGGGAGUACGGCCGCAAGGUUAG